RNAcentral lists this long non-coding RNA (424 nucleotides) under Rattus norvegicus (Norway rat). Its description in RNAcentral is "long non-coding RNA NONRATT013062". Lineage: Eukaryota; Metazoa; Chordata; Mammalia; Rodentia; Muridae. The record is from RNAcentral.
GUCCAGGGAGGGCGUGUGGCAUGUGUGUGCUGGGAUUCUUCUGCUACAGACCUGGCGGAAGGAUGACUGGGAUAUACUGUACAUGGGAGUUCAUACGCUUGCAGAUAUUGGCACAGCUGAAUGUUGAAGACAUGUAGAUUUAAACAUGGAAUUCAAUCCUUCAGACCAUCCUCGGGCCAGCACAAUAUUCCUCAGCAAAUCUCAGACAGACGUGAGAGAAAAACGAAAGAGUCUCUUCAUUAACCAUCAUCCUCCAGGGCAGACAUCAAGGAAAUACAGUUCCUGCUCCACCAUCUUUCUAGACGACAGCACAGUCAGCCAGCCAAACCUCAAGUACACCAUCAAAUGUGUAGCUCUUGCGAUAUAUUACCACAUCAAAAACAGGGACCCAGAUGGAAGGAUGCUCUUAGAUAUUUUUGAUGAA